UCACCAACAAUUCAAAAAGAGGGGUACAAGAGGUACAAAACCCACAAAAGGAACAAUACAUGCAUAUGGAUACACCGGUACAUAAAAAGAAAAUAACAAGGCAAAUAUCACUUAUAAGUAAUCACCUAGCGGCCCCUAAACACAAAUGAGAUACUGAGCCCUCACCCAAAAAGAAGGAGAGACGAAGAGGAGAUCGAAAAGAUGAAGGUAGGAAAAGCAGGCUCACAUCCCUCCAAGACCACCAAAAACCAUAAUAACCACUUCACAAGACCGUAACAGCUCCAACACAAAAUCGGUUGCACUUUCAACUCAUUUUAUUUUGGUAUGUUUGAUUUUGAUCGAAUAACCAUCAAUAUUUUGAGUGUGUGACCGCAAAGAAUCUAAUUCCACAUGCAUAUGUCCUAGUCUAGCCAGAGAUUAGAGGUUCAAUACUUAUAGCUUCAUGGCUUCAUUCCUAGCUAGAACUAUUAAAUUGAAGAACAUGUAGAAUUUCCAUCAAACUAAUUAAUACAUAUAGGAGUGGUGUAGUGUAGAAAGAACAAAA
RNAcentral lists this long non-coding RNA (544 nucleotides) under Trifolium pratense (red clover). RNAcentral's name for it is "long non-coding RNA (TPRA_LNC003391)". The record is from RNAcentral. Lineage: Eukaryota; Viridiplantae; Streptophyta; Magnoliopsida; Fabales; Fabaceae.